UGGGGAAUAUUGGGCAAUGGGCGCAAGCCUGACCCAGCCAUGCCGCGUGAGUGAUGAAGGCCUUCGGGUCGUAAAGCUCUGUGGGGAGGGAAGAAACCGCUCGUGGCCAACAUCCACGAGUCUUGACGGUACCUCCUUAGCAAGCACCGGCUAACUCCGUGCCAGCAGCCGCGGUAAUACGGAGGGUGCAAACGUUGCUCGGAAUCAUUGGGCGUAAAGCGCACGUAGGCGGCCGAUUAAGUCGGGUGUGAAAGCCCUGGGCUCAACCCAGGAAGUGCACUCGAAACUGAUCGGCUUGAAUAUGGAAGAGGGUCGCGGAAUUCCCGGUGUAGAGGUGAAAUUCGUAGAUAUCGGGAGGAACACCAGUGGCGAAGGCGGCGACCUGGGCCAAUAUUGACGCUGAGGUGCGAAAGCGUGGGGAGCAAACAG
RNAcentral lists this ribosomal RNA (429 nucleotides) under uncultured bacterium. RNAcentral describes it as "bacterial SSU rRNA". It matches the Rfam family "Bacterial small subunit ribosomal RNA", at positions 355 to 775 of the family's 1533-position model. The record is from RNAcentral.